Molecule: long non-coding RNA, 3200 nt
Filed under: Gallus gallus (chicken)
Lineage: Eukaryota; Metazoa; Chordata; Aves; Galliformes; Phasianidae
Source: RNAcentral
CUGCUGGGCCAGCAAACUGCUGAGUCAAGACUGGGGCAAUCACGUGGAAUGCCAAAAAAAGAAACCUUUGUGCUGAGGUGAAGGGAUCGGAGCCCAGGCUGCAGCGGGCGGCUGCAGUGUUUCCUGCAAAAGCCCACUGAGAGCUCACGCUGUGACACAGCUGGAAAAACAUGUUCCCAGCCUGCACGCAGAAGCAAAGCUCUAAAACAGAGGAGCUUCAAGCUGACAAACAGCCCCGCUUGAAGGAGUUAAGCUGAAGAGCACUCAUCACUAAAAGCAUAACAUCUGCUGCAUGCCAGCUACUUUCCCUAAGUAGACAAUGGUGGCCCCGGAUGCCUACCAGUAGUUACGCUGUAACAGUGUCAAAGGUUAAGGCAGAUUUUCUGCAGAUCAUGUAAAGAACUGUACUACAGUUACUAGAGGGUGACAGUAAGUAAUUCAGUAGGAGAAAAAAACCACCUGCUCCAUCUGUCAACUGAGGACUGCAUACAAAGAAGCCUGAGAAAACUUCCCAACAAGAAAAUACAGAAUUAAACAAUGGACCAAAAAAGCAGUAAGGAUGGGAGACAUCCAAUACAAAACAGACACACACACCCCCUCUCUCACAUGUAGGCCCCUGAAAGUGGGAUCACAGUGAUAAAAGUUAGAGAUCAUAGAGCGGUGUGAAAGACAUCUGUCAUAUCAGGGGACUCUCCUCUUCAGACCCAGAGUCAAAUGGAAUUAUGAAGACCAGAUACUUUCUUGCAGCUUCCUGCACAUCUUACUAAAUAACAUGCAAAGAGUUCAACAGCAUUCUUCUUAAAAUGUAAAUAGUACUCUUUAAAUGGGCAUGUUAACCACUGAAAGAAGUCCACUCUACUAUACUCCUCCAUUACACUGCUUUCAUUCAGUCAUCGGUAGUAUAAAAAGUCAAUUAACGGGAUUAACAGGCUAGUUUAUCCACUGGCAAUUGCGUAUGACACCAAGUGUGCAGUAAAACAAAGGCCAACAUAUGUUUACGCAAUAUAGUUGUACUGAUUUGGGUUUUCUUUAUCUCUUUCCAUGUAGUCUCUGUCAAUUAAGGAUUCUAUUCUCUUCUUAAGGUCAGCAGGCUGUAAAUUAAAGCAGAUGUCAGCAUUAUUAUUUUGUAGUCGACGCUUCUCAAUCCUACCUAAGCCAAAUAUCCAUACUGCUUGAGAUGACUGAUGAACCAUAUUAUAACUUACAUCUCUCAACACAUCAAAGCUUCUUAAACUUGCAGUGUGCAAUUAAAGAGAAAGUUACAAGAUUAGACAGAAUGCACCAUAUAUCUGAGCUCAGAUGUUAUCACAGAAUCACAGAAUCUAUGUUAUCUAAGCUAUGUCACUGUCUUUUGGAAAAUCAGUUUGCACUUGUACACAGUAAGCUAUUCUUUCUCAUAUUGCAUCUGUUACUACUAACAAACUCCCAGUUCUGAAAACCUUUACUAUGUUGUACUAAUGAAGAGGUUAACAUUCAGAUAAACUAAUGAAACCGACACUUUAAAAAAUCCUGAAAUUACGUACUUUUUGUUCCUUCUAUCAGGAAAGGGAACACAUGUUUCAGAUAGAAGCACUGUUUAACUGAGAACAGGUCAAGGAAUGUGAAGAGAGGUAAUACAUUUUGAAAACAAAAGAAAUCAGUACUACACCUUUACUGGGAAUUUAAGCUGGUUGUAGACCUCUGACACAAGCAAGUUAUGACUCAGUGUUUUUCGCAUCUUCAUAAUUCGAACAAUAGCGGCAUCAAUCUGGUAUUGCCGGUCCUGGAAUACUCUCUCUGUAGUGCUUGCCUGUUCCUCUACCUGAUGGAUCCAUUUAAAAAGAGUUUUAAAGAGAACAUCAGAACUGUUGAAUCCAUUCUUCUUCAUAUCUAAGACAAGUCUUAUUGUGAGACACUAAAAGGUCUACUGUAAAAUACUGGACAUAAAUCCUACAAAAUAUGGAAGUCCACUGUCUUAAGAACUUGUACUCAAGAGCAAAAUCUUUGCACAACUUUUACAUUGGUUGGCAAAUUCACAGUGAAUUUGUUUCUAUGUUCACAAAUCAGUAAAGGUCUAGGGAAUGAUUAAGGGUGAACAGAACAUUCAUACUUGGAACCUCUGCUAAUCAACCUUAGAGAUGUCAAGGAUGAUCGAUAUCUAAGUUAGCACAGAAGCUCACGUUUAAAUCUCCACUAUUAAGUGGAGAUAUCAUCCAAAGAGAUAUCAUCCAAAAUACAUGUGCAUCCUUCACACAGAUACCAUUAUGUACAUUACAACCGAGAGGAAUAAAGCUUGUAAAUGGGCAAGCAAUGAGAUACUUAACCCAAGAAUAAAAAACCUAGAGUAUUAGAAAAAACAACAAAAAAUAUACCGUUUCUUUCAUCUGAAUUUGGUUGAUUUUUAUCCUGAACAGCUUAUGUCUGAAAUCAUCAUUGCAUGUGAAUUUAUCACCAUCUUCCACAUCUUUUCCUUUGGGGCUCUUUGUCAGUACUCUAGCUUUGCCACAAGCCAGAGACUGAAGUGUCCUUCGCAGCUCUCCAUCCUCUAAAGCAGAAACAAGUUGUUCAGUAUUUUCACUCAAGAGCACACUUGAAGCAGUCAGUGUUUUUAGUACCAACCUAUCCCAGUGGCUUGCUUUAUCUCCUCUAGACUGAACUCCUCUCCUUCAUUAAACAUGAGCAGCACUAGUGUCUGGAACAAGGAGACCUGAAGUUCUUUUUUGCCCUAUCACAGAGGAAAUAACAGACAUCAUUAGGUUGUUCUCAGGGGGGAUCAACUCACUCUUCCAUGUAAAUUAUUUCACUUACAGGAUGCAGUUGUUCCUUAUUCAUUUUAGAAUAUGAAAGAAUAAAAGUUAUUGUUCUCCUCAUGUUUACUAUGAAAUGCAGAGCAAGACAGAGGUCAGAUUAGACUACCAUACCCACUGACAAAAUUUGCUAAUGUAUGUAUCAAAUUUAGACACAUUCAAAUCCAAAGCGUGCUUAAAAUUACAAUUUGAAAGACCUUUAAUCCAAACUGUAAGACGAGCAUUAGUCUAAAAACAUAGUUGCUAUUACUAUCUCUUUAAUAACUAAGUUGGAUAACACUUGUUUUAUCAUUAACAUUAUGAAAAACAAAACUUAGUAAACAUUCCCAGCUUUCAAGGGAAAUCAUCACAAGAUAUAUUCAUGCCCACGAAGAAAUGAUAAAGGGAAAUACUGGGAAACUCUCUAAAAACUGC